Molecule: non-coding RNA, 1503 nt
Filed under: Streptomyces caatingaensis
Lineage: Bacteria; Bacillati; Actinomycetota; Actinomycetes; Kitasatosporales; Streptomycetaceae
Description: Bacterial large subunit ribosomal RNA
Rfam family: Bacterial large subunit ribosomal RNA
Source: Rfam by way of RNAcentral
GGCCAAGUUUUUAAGGGCGCACGGUGGAUGCCUUGGCACCAGGAACCGAUGAAGGACGUGGGAGGCCGCGAUAGGCCCCGGGGAGCUGUCAACCGAGCUGUGAUCCGGGGGUGUCCGAAUGGGGAAACCCGGCAGUCGUCAUGGGCUGUCACCCGCUGCUGAACACAUAGGCAGUGUGGAGGGAACGCGGGGAAGUGAAACAUCUCAGUACCCGCAGGAAGAGAAAACAACCGUGAUUCCGGGAGUAGUGGCGAGCGAAACUGGAUGAGGCCAAACCGUAUGCGUGUGAUACCCGGCAGGGGUUGCGUAUGCGGGGUUGUGGGAUCUCUCUUCUGUCGUCUGCCGGCGGCAGGACGAGUCAGAAACCGUUGAUGUAGGCGAAGGACAUGCGAAAGGUCCGGCGUAGAGGGUAAGACCCCCGUAGUCGAAACGUCAGCGGCUCGUUUGAGAGACACCCAAGUAGCACGGGGCCCGAGAAAUCCCGUGUGAAUCUGGCGGGACCACCCGUUAAGCCUAAAUAUUCCCUGGUGACCGAUAGCGGAUAGUACCGUGAGGGAAUGGUGAAAAGUACCGCGGGAGCGGAGUGAAAUAGUACCUGAAACCGUGUGCCUACAAGCCGUGGGAGCGUCGCAUCGAGUGCUUGCACUUGGUGUCGUGACUGCGUGCCUUUUGAAGAAUGAGCCUGCGAGUUUGCGGUGUGUUGCGAGGUUAACCCGUGUGGGGAAGCCGUAGCGAAAGCGAGUCCGAAGAGGGCGACCUAGUAGCGCGCCCAAGACCCGAAGCGGGGUGAUCUAGCCAUGGGCAGGUUGAAGCGGAGGUAAGACUUCGUGGAGGACCGAACCCACCAGGGUUGAAAACCUGGGGGAUGACCUGUGGUUAGGGGUGAAAGGCCAAUCAAACUCCGUGAUAGCUGGUUCUCCCCGAAAUGCAUUUAGGUGCAGCGUCGUGUGUUUCUUGCCGGAGGUAGAGCACUGGAUAGGCGAUGGGCCCUACCGGGUUACUGACCUUAGCCAAACUCCGAAUGCCGGUAAGUGAGAGCGCGGCAGUGAGACUGUGGGGGAUAAGCUCCAUGGUCGAGAGGGAAACAGCCCAGAGCAUCGACUAAGGCCCCUAAGCGUACGCUAAGUGGGAAAGGAUGUGGAGUCGCAGAGACAACCAGGAGGUUGGCUUAGAAGCAGCCACCCUUGAAAGAGUGCGUAAUAGCUCACUGGUCAAGUGAUUCCGCGCCGACAAUGUAGCGGGGCUCAAGCGUACCGCCGAAGUCGUGUCACUGCAGCAUGAGACCUAACGGUUGUUGUGGUGGGUAGGGGAGCGUCGUGUGCCGGGUGAAGCAGCGCCGGAAGGUAGUUGUGGACGGUUCACGAGUGAGAAUGCAGGCAUGAGUAGCGAUACACACGUGGGAAACGUGUGCGCCGAUUGACUAAGGGUUCCUGGGUCAAGCUGAUCUGCCCAGGGUAAGUCGGGACCUAAGGCGAGGCCGACAGGCGUAGUCGAUGGACAACC